This 429-nucleotide ribosomal RNA is filed under the name Bacteroidota bacterium. Its description in RNAcentral is "Bacteroidetes bacterium partial 16S ribosomal RNA". It matches the Rfam family "Bacterial small subunit ribosomal RNA", at positions 355 to 776 of the family's 1533-position model. Lineage: Bacteria; Pseudomonadati; Bacteroidota. The record is from RNAcentral.
UAGGGAAUCUUCCGCAAUGGGCGAAAGCUUGACGGAGCAACGCCGCGUGAGUGAUGAAGGUCUUCGGAUCGUAAAACUCUGUUAUUAGGGAAGAACAAAUGUGUAAGUAACUAUGCACGUCUUGACGGUACCUAAUCAGAAAGCCACGGCUAACUACGUGCCAGCAGCCGCGGUAAUACGUAGGUGGCAAGCGUUAUCCGGAAUUAUUGGGCGUAAAGCGCGCGUAGGCGGUUUUUUAAGUCUGAUGUGAAAGCCCACGGCUCAACCGUGGAGGGUCAUUGGAAACUGGAAAACUUGAGUGCAGAAGAGGAAAGUGGAAUUCCAGGUGUAGCGGUGAAAUGCACAGAGAUAUGGAGGAACACCAGUGGCGAAGGCGACUUUCUGGUCUGUAACUGACGCUGAUGUGCGAAAGCGUGGGGAUCAAACAGG